This is an unclassified non-coding RNA of Pongo abelii (Sumatran orangutan), 148 nucleotides long. It matches the Rfam family "Metazoan signal recognition particle RNA". From Rfam's summary of the family: The signal recognition particle (SRP) is a universally conserved ribonucleoprotein. It is involved in the co-translational targeting of proteins to membranes. Lineage: Eukaryota; Metazoa; Chordata; Mammalia; Primates; Hominidae. The record is from Ensembl.
GCCAGGUGUGGUGGUGCACACCUAUAAUCCCAGCUACUCAGGAGGCUGAGGCAGGAGAAUCGUUUGAACCCAGGAGGUGGAGGUUGCAGUGAGCCAAGAUCGCGCCAUUGCACUUCAGCCUGGGUAACACAGCGAGACUCUGUCUCAA